UCCUGACCUCAGGUGAUCCGCCCGCCUCGGCCUCCCAAAGUUCUGGGAUUACAGGCGUGAGCCACUGCGCCUGGCCUGAAAUUUGUUCUUAUCUUUAAAUGAUCCUACAAGAUUAUCUCAUCAUCUCAUUCACACAAAAUUCUCAAUAUAUAUAUUUUAAAGGUUUUAUACAACUACUGAAUACUUAAAUUACCGGAAGAAUUACAGAUGGUGAUAUUCUAUAGACAUUUAAAAAAUCAUAUUCUGGACAAUGAGAAUACUAGUUAUCUUUCUUCUUUAAACUUUUCUGAGUUUUUCAAACCACCACCAAAAGUCACAAAGACAACCUGCUUUCACUUUCAAACACUUAAGUUUUGUUAAAAAUUAUUUGAAACACAAUGCAAGCAAAAAAAAAAAAAAAGGUCAAAUGUUUCUUGAGUAUAACAUGAAAGAAGAGCAAAGUCUGAAAGACUGAUAACAUUUUCAGAGAUUCUGGAGCCAUGAUAUACUUAAGGGGAUGGGGGCUAAAAAUAAGGUAAAUACUUUAAACUUUUUCUGCAUUAAAGAAUUAUAGUUGAUCUAAGUAGACUACUAUAUUUCUUCCUACUAUAGUUAGCUGGUAUACUGAAGACAGGUAGACAUGCUUUAUUCUUAACACAUUCCUUAAAGAUGAACCAAUCAAAAUUAUUUUCUUGACACUAAAAAAAUCCACUGGAAGCCAGUGGAUUAUGAAAAAUGUUAUGAGAAUAAUCACGAGAAUAAUGUUAAGUAUUUCUUUCUUUUUUUUUUUUUUUUUUUGAGGAGUCUCACUCUGUCCCUCAGGCUGGAGUGCAGUGGCAUGAUCUGGACUCACUGCAGCCUCCGCCUCCCAGGUUCAAGUGACUCUCCUGCCUCAGGUUCCUGAGUAGCUGGAAUUACAGGCGUGCACCACCACACCCAGCUAAUUUUUGUAUUUUUAGUAGAGGCAGUGUCUCAUCAUGUUGGCCAGGCUGGUCAUGACCUCAAAUGAUCCGCCCACCUCGGCCUCCCAAAGUGCUGAGAUUACAGGCGUGAGCCACUGCGCCUGGC
RNAcentral lists this long non-coding RNA (1047 nucleotides) under Homo sapiens (human). RNAcentral's name for it is "HSALNT0032820". The record is from RNAcentral. Lineage: Eukaryota; Metazoa; Chordata; Mammalia; Primates; Hominidae.